This 495-nucleotide ribosomal RNA is filed under the name uncultured bacterium. RNAcentral's name for it is "partial 16S ribosomal RNA". It matches the Rfam family "Bacterial small subunit ribosomal RNA", at positions 28 to 507 of the family's 1533-position model. The record is from RNAcentral.
GACGAACGCUGGCGGCGUGCCUAAUACAUGCAAGUAGAACGCUGAAGGAGGAGCUUGCUUCUCUGGAUGAGUUGCGAACGGGUGAGUAACGCGUAGGUAACCUGCCUGGUAGCGGGGGAUAACUAUUGGAAACGAUAGCUAAUACCGCAUAAGAGUAGAUGUUGCAUGACAUUUGCUUAAAAGGUGCAAUUGCAUCACUACCAGAUGGACCUGCGUUGUAUUAGCUAGUUGGUGAGGUAACGGCUCACCAAGGCAACGAUACAUAGCCGACCUGAGAGGGGGAGAGGCCACACUGGGACUGAGACACGGCCCAGACUCCUACGGGAGGCAGCAGUAGGGAAUCUUCGGCAAUGGACGGAAGUCUGACCGAGCAACGCCGCGUGAGUGAAGAAGGUUUUCGGAUCGUAAAGCUCUGUUGUAAGAGAAGAACGAGUGUGAGAGUGGAAAGUUCACACUGUGACGGUAUCUUACCAGAAAGGGACGGCUAACUACGUG